UGAGGGGUCGUCUAACGGUAGGACGCCGGCCUUUGGAGCCGUGAAUGGGGGUUCGACUCCUCCCCCCUCAGCCA
RNAcentral lists this transfer RNA (74 nucleotides) under Candidatus Bipolaricaulota bacterium. RNAcentral describes it as "tRNA-Gln". It matches the Rfam family "tRNA". Rfam says of the family: Transfer RNA (tRNA) molecules are approximately 80 nucleotides in length. Their secondary structure includes four short double-helical elements and three loops (D, anti-codon, and T loops). The record is from RNAcentral. Lineage: Bacteria; Candidatus Bipolaricaulota.